GUAGGUGGCAAGCGUUGUCCGGAAUUAUUGGGCGUAAAGCGCGCGCAGGCGGUUCUUUAAGUCUGAUGUGAAAGCCCACGGCUCAACCGUGGAGGGUCAUUGGAAACUGGAGAACUUGAGUACAGAAGAGGAAAGCGGAAUUCCACGUGUAGCGGUGAAAUGCGUAGAGAUGUGGAGGAACACCAGUGGCGAAGGCGGCUUUCUGGUCUGUAACUGACGCUGAGGCGCGAAAGCGUGGGGAGCAAACAGGGAUUAGAUACCCUGGUAGUCCACGCCGUAAACGAUGAGUGCUAAGUGUUAGGGGGUUUCCGCCCCCUUAGUGCUGCAGCUAACGCAUUAAGCACUCCGCCUGGGGAGUACGGCCCGCAAGGCUG
RNAcentral lists this ribosomal RNA (374 nucleotides) under uncultured organism. RNAcentral describes it as "partial 16S ribosomal RNA". It matches the Rfam family "Bacterial small subunit ribosomal RNA", at positions 527 to 896 of the family's 1533-position model. The record is from RNAcentral.